AGCAGCGUGGCUCAGUGGAAAGAGCACCGGCUUGGGAGUCAGAGGUCAUGGGUUCGAAUCCCGGCUCUGCCA
Ornithorhynchus anatinus (platypus) is the source of this 72-nucleotide non-coding RNA. The record is from Rfam. Lineage: Eukaryota; Metazoa; Chordata; Mammalia; Monotremata; Ornithorhynchidae.